This 481-nucleotide ribosomal RNA is filed under the name uncultured bacterium. RNAcentral describes it as "partial 16S ribosomal RNA". It matches the Rfam family "Bacterial small subunit ribosomal RNA", at positions 28 to 507 of the family's 1533-position model. The record is from RNAcentral.
GAUGAACGCUGGCGGCGUGCUUAACACAUGCAAGUCGAACGAAGCAUUUGCGACAGACUUUUUCGGAAUGAAGUUGCUUAUGACUGAGUGGCGGACGGGUGAGUAACGCGUGGGUAACCUGCCUUGUACUGGGGGAUAGCAGCUGGAAACGGCUGGUAAUACCGCAUAAGCGCACAAUGUUGCAUGACAUGGUGUGAAAAACUCCGGUGGUAUAAGAUGGACCCGCGUCUGAUUAGCUAGUUGGUGAGAUAACAGCCCACCAAGGCGACGAUCAGUAGCCGACCUGAGAGGGUGACCGGCCACAUUGGGACUGAGACACGGCCCAGACUCCUACGGGAGGCAGCAGUGGGGAAUAUUGCACAAUGGAGGAAACUCUGAUGCAGCGACGCCGCGUGAGUGAAGAAGUAAUUCGUUAUGUAAAGCUCUAUCAGCAGGGAAGAUAGUGACGGUACCUGACUAAGAAGCUCCGGCUAAAUACGUG